Molecule: ribosomal RNA, 261 nt
Filed under: uncultured Streptococcus sp.
Lineage: Bacteria; Bacillati; Bacillota; Bacilli; Lactobacillales; Streptococcaceae
Description: partial 16S ribosomal RNA
Rfam family: Bacterial small subunit ribosomal RNA
Source: RNAcentral
ACUACGGUUUGGGGCACUCUAGCGAGACUGCCGGUAAUAAACCGGAGGAAGGUGGGGAUGACGUCAAAUCAUCAUGCCCCUUAUGACCUGGGCUACACACGUGCUACAAUGGUUGGUACAACGAGUUGCGAGUCGGUGACGGCGAGCUAAUCUCUUAAAGCCAAUCUCAGUUCGGAUUGUAGGCUGCAACUCGCCUACAUGAAGUCGGAAUCGCUAGUAAUCGCGGAUCAGCACGCCGCGGUGAAUACGUUCCCGGGCCUU